UGCUUUACACAUGCAAGUCGAACGGCAGCACGGAGAGCUUGCUCUCUGGUGGCGAGUGGCGAACGGGUGAGUAAUAUAUCGGAACGUGUCCAAUAAUGGGGGAUAACGAGUCGAAAGAUUCGCUAAUACCGCAUACGCCCUACGGGGGAAAGCAGGGGAUCGUAAGACCUUGCGUUAAUGGAGCGGCCGAUAUCUGAUUAGCUUGUUGGUGAGGUAAAGGCUCACCAAGGCGACGAUCAGUAGCUGGUUUGAGAGAACGACCAGCCACACUGGAACUGAGACACGGUCCAGACUCCUACGGGAGGCAGCAGUGGGGAAUUUUGGACAAUGGGGGCAACCCUGAUCCAGCCAUUCCGCGUGAGUGAAGAAGGCCUUCGGGUUGUAAAGCUCUUUCGCAAGGGAAGAAAACUUAUGAUCGAAUAAAUCAUGAGGUUGACGGUACCUUGAUAAGAAGCACCGGCUAACUACGUGCCAGCAGCCGCGGUAAUACGUAGGGUGCGAGCGUUAAUCGGAAUUACUGGGCGUAAAGCGUGCGCAGGCGGUUUUGUAAGUCGGAUGUGAAAUCCCCGGGCUCAACCUGGGAACUGCGUUCGAAACUGCAAGGCUAGAGUGUGUCAGAGGGGGGUAGAAUUCCACGUGUAGCAGUGAAAUGCGUAGAGAUGUGGAGGAAUACCAAUGGCGAAGGCAGCCCCCUGGGAUAACACUGACGCUCAUGCACGAAAGCGUGGGGAGCAAACAGGAUUAGAUACCCUGGUAGUCCACGCCCUAAACGAUGUCAACUAGUUGUUGGUAGAGUAAAAUCUAUGAGUAACGUAGCUAACGCGUGAAGUUGACCGCCUGGGGAGUACGGUCGCAAGAU
This 859-nucleotide ribosomal RNA is filed under the name beta proteobacterium SCGC AAA208-C10. Its description in RNAcentral is "bacterial SSU rRNA". It matches the Rfam family "Bacterial small subunit ribosomal RNA", at positions 45 to 894 of the family's 1533-position model. Lineage: Bacteria; Pseudomonadati; Pseudomonadota; Betaproteobacteria. The record is from RNAcentral.